Molecule: ribosomal RNA, 425 nt
Filed under: uncultured bacterium
Lineage: Bacteria
Description: partial 16S ribosomal RNA
Rfam family: Bacterial small subunit ribosomal RNA
Source: RNAcentral
GUGGGGAAUCUUGCGCAAUGGGCGAAAGCCUGACGCAGCCAUGCCGCGUGAAUGAUGAAGGUCUUAGGAUUGUAAAAUUCUUUCACCGGGGACGAUAAUGACGGUACCCGGAGAAGAAGCCCCGGCUACCUCCGUGCCAGCAGCCGCGGUAAUACGUAGGGGGCGAGCGUUGUCCGGAAUGACUGGGCGUAAAGGGCGCGUAGACGGCUGUCUAAGUCUGGAGUGAAAGUCCUGCUUUCAAGGUGGGUAUUGCUUUGGAGACUGGAUGGCUUGAGUGCGGAAGAGGUAAGUGGAAUUCCCAGUGUAGCGGUGAAAUGCGUAGAGAUUGGGAGGAACACCAGUGGCGAAGGCGACUUACUGGGCCGUAACUGACGUUGAUGCGCGAAAGCGUGGGGAGCGAACAGGAUUAGAAACCCUGGUAGUCC